UAUGGAAGCGUAGACAUGUCAACGGAUUGGACUCGGGAUGAAUUUUUAAAAAUUUGAAUCCAAAUCCGACUUUAAACCUAAGAUCUGAAUUCAAAUUCGAAUCCGACAGAUUUUAAAAAUUUAUAUCUAAACCUGACCCGAUCAAAAAUUCGAAACUCAAAUCCGAACAAUUAUUUUUUUUUUCAAUAUUUCAAAAUAUAUUACAUUAAAUCUAAAUUUUUAAAGUUAUAUAUAUAUAUAUAUUUAUUUAUAUAUAGUUGGACUGGGCUACUAUUAGUAGCAAAAUCUCAUUGUUGCUACAAGUUUUUUAGCAUUUGGAUCAACUCUUUUCAUUAUUUCUAACUAUUGGAUUAAAUACUAUAAUCCAGUGGGGACCACUCAACCAUAGAAGGACCACUCAACUCUAACUGACUAAUAUCAUCCUGACCCUACAAUUUUUCAUCCAAGGGUUAAAAAUUUGAUAGCAAAAAGAGCGUUUUACUAUCAAUAGUAUUCCAGCCUAAUUCUAUAUAUAUAUAUAUAUAUAUAUUAUGCAUAAUAAAUUCGGGUUCGGGUCGAAUUCGGGUUCGGAUCAGGUAUCGUUAAAAUUCAUAUUCGAGUCCAUAUCCAUCGAAUUUUUAUUUUUGAUAUUCAUAUCUGAAUCAAUAUCCAUUUAGCAUUAGAUAUACCCGCUUCAUUCGGAUUCGGAUUCGAAUAAAAUUUCGAAUAUCCAUACCCACUACUAUCAUAUAUCUUAUAUUCUUUUAAUCCAAAAGUCAUCAUUUCUGACUU
Molecule: long non-coding RNA, 771 nt
Filed under: Ananas comosus (pineapple)
Lineage: Eukaryota; Viridiplantae; Streptophyta; Magnoliopsida; Poales; Bromeliaceae
Description: long non-coding RNA (ACOM_LNC029674)
Source: RNAcentral